Small nucleolar RNA from Accipiter nisus (Eurasian sparrowhawk), 136 nucleotides. Lineage: Eukaryota; Metazoa; Chordata; Aves; Accipitriformes; Accipitridae. The record is from Ensembl.
CUGCAUACCAGUAGACCUUAUCUGGUUCUUCUAAUAGCCAGAUGAGGGGGAUGGUGCAUGCUACAAAAAACUGGGAUUGCUGUAGGCUGUGAUCAGCCUCGAUGUGGCUGAUUGGACUGCAAUGCUCCCAACAUAU